AAGGGAAUCGGAACACAGGUGCUGCAUGGCUGUCGUCAGCUCGUGUCGUGAGAUGUUGGGUUAAGUCCCGCAACGAGCGCAACCCUUAUCAUUAGUUGCUACGCAAGGGCACUCUAAUGAGACUGCCGGUGACAAACCGGAGGAAGGUGGGGAUGACGUCAAGUCCUCAUGGCCCUUAUGGGUAGGGCUUCACACGUCAUACAAUGGUCGGUACAGAGGGUUGCCAAGCCGCGAGGCGGAGCCAAUCCCACAAAACCGAUCGUAGUCCGGAUCGCAGUCUGCAACUCGACUGCGUGAAGUCGGAAUCGCUAGUAAUCGUGAAUCAGAAUGUCACGGUGAAUACGUUCCCGGGCCUU
RNAcentral lists this ribosomal RNA (356 nucleotides) under uncultured Limnobacter sp. RNAcentral describes it as "bacterial SSU rRNA". It matches the Rfam family "Bacterial small subunit ribosomal RNA", at positions 1020 to 1382 of the family's 1533-position model. Lineage: Bacteria; Pseudomonadati; Pseudomonadota; Betaproteobacteria; Burkholderiales; Burkholderiaceae. The record is from RNAcentral.